GGAAAUGCCCUAGCUCAAUGGUAAAGCACGUGCUUUGCACCCAGAAGGUCCCAUCUCCAAUCUCUGGCAUCUCCAGGUAGGGCUGGUAAAGACUUGUUGCCUGAAAUCCUGGUGAGCUGCUGCCAGUCUGUGUAGACAAAUCCAAUGGUUUGACUCAGAAUAAGGCUGUUUCCUAUCUCCCUAUGCUUCCUGUCUUCCAGCCCUUUAUUCAGAACCACGAGGACUGGAAUUUUACUGGGUUUUUAAGGGCCACACUCCAGUCGCAGAGCACCUGCUUUGCAUGUAAAAGGUUCCACAUUCAAUCCCUGAUAGGGCUGGGAGAGACAGCUCUGUCUGAAAUCCUCAAGAACUGCCACUAGUUAGGGUAGACAACAGUAGUGGCUGGUGUGUCUUGGAACUGCUUGGGCAGAAGGCAUGGAAGCUGACAGUAGGUGGUGCUAAUGAGCAGAACCAACUCAUUUUAGUUUUGAUCCCAUCCUCCUCCCUGUUGAGUUCUUCAAGGGUAAUGCUGAAGCUGAGGAGGAGGCGGAGGAGGAGGCGGAGGAGGAGGAGGAGAAGGGAGUUUACUGCCCAUGACCCAAGCAAGUGGGAGCUGGUUUAGCAGACCACCUGCUACAGAUGUCAGACUUGUGAUCUGCAGUGCCUCUCCCUUGCCUGUGCUACUACAUUCUCAACCUCCAUUCUGCAUAGGACAUUCCUGUGUGCUUUGUGAUUCGUCACAGCUUUCCAGGUGCAAUGGGUUGCGCCCAUGAGCAGCACAGGUCCUGUUCUUUACUUAUUUCAGGGACUCUUUGAAAACCCUGAAAAACCAGAUUGAAGCUUUACAGGCCAGUGUCAUGCCCUGUGGUGGACCACCUCUUCCUUAAACACAUUCCAAGCUCAUGGAGCAGCUACCCCAAAAGCUAAUGCUGUUCUAGGCUGCAUCAACAGCAGUUGAGUUUCCAAAUCAAGGGAAGUUCUUGUAACGCUCUAGUCUGCCUUGGUGAGAUCCCCGCUGGAGUCCAGUGUCCAGUUCUGGGCAGCUCAGUUUAAGACGGAGAUUGACAAGCUGGAAUGUGUGCAGAGGAGGGCGACCGAUAUGGUUCAGGAAGCCAAGCCUUAUAUAUGAGGAACCAUUGAGGGAGUUGGGGGUGCUUAGCAUGGAGAAGGGAAGGCUAAAAGGUGGUAAAGAUAUCUUAAAAGCUGUCACAUGGAAGAUGGAGCAAGCUUGUUUUCCGUUGCUCUGGGAGGGGAGGACCUGAGUCAAUGGGUUCAAACGACAAGAAAGGAGUUUCGGACUAAGCACUAGGAACAACGCUCUUUGACAGUAAGAGCCACUCAACAGUGGAAUGGACUCUCUCAGAACUCUGUGGUGUACCCAACUUCAUUGGAGGUUUUGAAACAGAAGUUGGAUGACCAUCUGUCAGGAAGUCUUUAGCUUGAUUCCUGGCUUUCAGGGGGUGGGACAAAUGACCCUUGCGGAUCCCUUCCAACUCUACAAUUCUAUGAUUCUAUGACUCUGGCACACACACAACCACCAGGAUUUCUGAUCAGAAGGGGAAUUUAAGGCAGCCCUGUAGUUCUGCUUGGUUUCAACUUGGCCUUGCCAGCUUGCUUCCCACACAUGGAAAACAGCUCAGAAAUUAGCAAGGAUUUAAGCUUCUGUUUCUACAAGGCUGAACAGCUGUGGCCAGAUCAGAAGAUUCAGGGGCUGGGAUGUUUUAGGAUUGGGCUCAGAGUAGUAGAGUUGUCAGAUCAAAAGCAUUCCAGACCCUGAGAUUUCAGUGCCCAAACUUGACUCUUAAGGGUGGCCCUGGUGAUAAGAUAGGGGUGGACCCUGCAGAAGGAGGUUAAUUGGGAGAGGGGAAGGGAGGAGUGCUGACUGGUGGAUGGACAGGCACAUCCCUGGGAGGGGGGCUCCUUCUGCGGACUCCCAGGGGAAUCAACUUUCAGUUUCAUUUUGGCAGGAUUUCAUUUGGGUUCUGGGAUGCUGCUCAUCAGGUGAUUUGGAUUUCUGUUCAAGGAGGGCAGGAAGAAGAAGCAAACAGAGAAUAUACUUUGGGCUUAUUUUUGCAUCGUAACACUUAGGGCUAAUUUUUACAUCACAAUAGUUAGGACUUCUUUAUGUAUCGAGGCUAUGUAGGAUUGCCAGGUCAGGAGCAUCCCAGACCCUGAGAUAUAAGGGCCCGAACCUGAGAUCGAGGGGCUGUCUCUUUGGUGAUGUCACAGGAGGAACCCCCCUGGUGAUGUCACAGGGGUGGGCCCUAGAGACGAAGGUUAAUUGGGAGAAGGUAGUGGAGGAGGGCAGACCUCCCCAGAGUGUCUAUGCUAUAAUUUGCAGCCAGUUCCUGUUAAGCUGAAGUUUGAAAGUUGCAAGCACAAAUACUCAUCUCUCUCUCUCUCUCUCUCUCUCUCUCUCUCUCUCUGUGUGUGUGUGUGUGUGUGUGUGUAAUGAUUGAAGGUACACUUGCCCACAUGGAAGUUCAAGCCCUCCACCUGCCAUCUGGAGAAUUCAGAUAAGACCUUGAGGUCUGGCAACCCAACAUGACAGCAGUGAGGAGGAGAUUCCUUUGAGGACCAUUUCUCAAUUGCUUAUCCUUCUCCCACUUGGCUUGCAUCUGGUGCUUUUUUGGUUCGUUAAGAAAAAUCCAAAGCAAAGCUCACGUCAUUGCAAUGAGGGUUGGGGAAAGGUUGUUGUAACAGCAGCCCAGCAGGGUGACAUCACUGGGCCGCAGGGUCAGGGCUGAGUCGGCUCCAAACGUUUGACUUAACCUGGUCUGACUCCUCCAGACAAGCCGAUGAUUCAUUGCUCUGGUUAAUUCCUUCAUUUUGGCUGAUCUGCUUCAUUAGACUACGUUUUGCCUGCCAGAUAAUUGGUUUGGUGCUUUGACCUCAUGUCCAUGGAUAUACAGGCAUGCAACUUUUUUAAAAAAGCACACCAUAGAAGCCAGUCAUUCAUUUUUUUAAGUGGGGACUUAGACGGAGGGAGGUUGGACUGCUCCAGUUUGGUGGAAAGGUCCUGGCCUUGUUAAGAACAUUUGAACAGUCCUUCUGGACCAGGUCAGUGGCCCAUCCGUUAACCUCUCUAUGACCAUCCACAUUGAAAAGCACUCUGUAAAUAUUGGAAGGAAUCCCCACAGAAGUAUAGAAUGGGUACCGCACCGCAACAGGCAACGGAUUUGAUUUAACCUAUGUGUAAUUUCCAAUAACCAAGAUUAUCUCAAAACAGUUCAUGAAAACAACCAAAAAAUCAAGAAACAUGCAACACAUCCUGUUGCAAAACAUAUAUACAAUAAAUAAAUGAAUCAAAGUGAUAUAAAGUACAACCCCUCCCCCCACAAAUCCUUCCAAAAUGCCCAUCAGUUGUGCCGGGUAAAUGUUAAGAACACUAAUAACCCCUGACAGAUGGUAGGCCUGUAAUGCUGGAACUUGUGGACGUCCAGCGAAGUUGAUGUUCAGGACAGAUAGAACAUUAGAUGUUCAGGACAGAUAGAAGAGUCAGUCAUGUGUUGCAGAGUCAAUCAUAUGAUGCAGCAGCGAAAAAGGUGAAUGCUAUUCUAGUGUCCUGAUCAAGGGAAGUAAUAGUACUGCUCUAUUCUGCCUUGGUCAGACCACACCUGGAGUCCCAUACCCCAUUCUGGGCACCACAAUUUAAUAAGGCUAUUGACAAGCUGGAACAUGUGCAGAGGUGGGUGACCAAGAUGAUCAAGGGUCUGGAACCUCAGCCUAAUGAGGAACGCUUGAAGGAGCUGAGUAUGUUUAGCCUGGAAAAGAGGAGACUGAGAGGAGAUAUCUCUAAAUAUCUUAAGGGCUGUCACUUGGAGGAGGGAGCAUGUUUGUUUUCUGCUCUGGAGAGUAGGACUCAAAUCAAUGGCUUCAAGUUAUAAGAAAGGAGUUCUGACUAAACAUCAGGAAGAACUUUCUGAUAGUAAGACCUGAUCAGCGGUGGAAUGGACUCCCUCAGAAGGUGGUGAACGCACCUUUGUUAAAGGUUUUGAAACAGGUUGGUUGGCCAUGUCAGGUGUUCUUUAGAUGUGACUCCUGCAUUGCAGGAGGUUGGACUAGAUGAUCCUCUAUGGUUUUAGAAAAAGUUGGGGAAUGGUUUUCUGAGAUGGUGCACAUUCAUGCAUAUAGGCGUGAGAGUACUCAAAUAGGAAAAAUCCCAAUGAGGAAAAUUCUGCAAAUGCAGCCAGAGGCAAGGCAAUUUCUUAUUUAAUGUGAUGUUUUGCAUUUAUAAUGGAAAUUAAGAACCAACCACAAGAAGGGAUUCUUUAGCUGUGAUUCCUGCGUCGCAGGGGGUUUGGCUACAUGACCUUUAGGGGUCCUUUCCGACUGUAUUGUCCUAUGAGUCCAUGAGGUCUGUACCACCCGUGGGUUUUAUAGCUGCCUAGGUGUGGCCUAUGCAUGCACGGAGCAUCGAGACGCAGCUCAUCUUUCCUCAGAUGUCCGCCAUGUGUUUGGAAGUAGGACAGUGAUUACAAGACGCAAGAAGCAGCUGGAUCCCUCUUGAAUAUUUUCUGUACUUAAUCUCUGAGGAAUGCAGAAAUGUCUGUCUGUGCAUCGCAGCCAAGAUCAACUCAGUGGAACCUGGAGCGGGGGGGGGGGGGGGUUCGGAGAAGCCAAUAUAAACCUUCAUGUUCUGUGUCGCAGCGGUUUCCUUUGAUGCUCUAUCCCCGCCCCAUGUAAUUGCAUAAGGAGAACUACUGUAGUGAAAAUGUCAAAGAUGGAUUGCCAUAGGUUCCUUUUCUUCAGUCUGCAUGAACCAACUUGAGGCAGCUGCUGGUGGUUCCCUUCAAUAGAUCAUUGUUGGUUUGUUGGUUUAUGAGCAGAGGAAGAGCCCUACCAGAUCAGGGCAAGGAUCCAUCUGGUUCAGUACCCUCUUCCCACUGUGGCAACCAGAUGCUUCUGAGUGUUAAAGUGGUGUUAUAGUGCUUUGAAUUUAUGGUGCAGAUGUGGUCUGAGAUGAGACAGUCACCUUCCUUGCUGACCUUUAGGCAGACAAUAAAUACUUCCUUAUUUCAGAAGGACAAUUUAAGGUUGCAUUAGGUUUUAUGAUAAAUUUUUAAAUUAUUCUUAUUCUUUGUAUGAUGGUUUGUUUGUUUUUAAAAAUAAUGUACACUGCUUAGAAUAUUGUUAAUGGUUUAUUUGCAGGCAGCGACCAUUUUAGGCAUGUCCAAUUUGUGCGCAACCACGCAUGUGCGCAUUACGCCAAACCCAGAAGUGACCCCAAAACAUCACAAAAAGAGGCUAAACGUGGAGGGGGCAGAAUGGUGUGUUUGCAGGCU
Podarcis lilfordi (Lilford's wall lizard) is the source of this 5264-nucleotide non-coding RNA. The record is from the annotation of a GenBank genome assembly. Lineage: Eukaryota; Metazoa; Chordata; Lepidosauria; Squamata; Lacertidae.